AGUGAACGCUGGCGGUAGGCCUAACACAUGCAGGUCGAGCGGCAGCACAGUAAGAGCUUGCUCUUACGGGUGGCGAGUGGCGGACGGGUGAGGAAUACAUCGGAAUCUACUUUUUCGUGGGGGAUAACGUAGGGAAACUUACGCUAAUACCGCAUACGACCUACGGGUGAAAGCAGGGGAUCUUCGGACCUUGCGCGAUUGAAUGAGCCGAUGUCGGAUUAGCUAGUUGGCGGGGUAAAGGCCCACCAAGGCGACGAUCCGUAGCUGGUCUGAGAGGAUGAUCAGCCACACUGGAACUGAGACACGGUCCAGACUCCUACGGGAGGCAGCAGUGGGGAAUAUUGGACAAUGGGCGCAAGCCUGAUCCAGCCAUACCGCGUGGGUGAAGAAGGCCUUCGGGUUGUAAAGCCCUUUUGUUGGGAAAGAAAAGCAGCAGGUUAAUACCCCGCUGUUCUGACGGUACCCAAAGAAUAAGCACCGGCUAACUUCGUG
This 492-nucleotide ribosomal RNA is filed under the name uncultured bacterium. RNAcentral's name for it is "partial 16S ribosomal RNA". It matches the Rfam family "Bacterial small subunit ribosomal RNA", at positions 29 to 507 of the family's 1533-position model. The record is from RNAcentral.